Molecule: long non-coding RNA, 570 nt
Filed under: Physcomitrium patens
Lineage: Eukaryota; Viridiplantae; Streptophyta; Bryopsida; Funariales; Funariaceae
Description: long non-coding RNA (PPAT_LNC014188)
Source: RNAcentral
AAGUAUAUAGGAAUUGUAGAAGUUAAUUAAGGUGCCAUCGUUGUCAUAGUUUGAGCCGGGAUAAGCUUGGUGCUACCUCUUUUCUUUUGUUUGUUAUUUUCUUUGAAUAAGAUGAUUGAGAGUUUCUGAAUAUUGUGAAGUGAAUUAUGGAAUGGAAAUGUGAUUGGUAUUAUUUUAAAAGAAGAAAGAUUGAAUGCUGAAAUCUGAUUAUAGUUCAGGAGAGAGAAUGAGUCUAUGUUUGUCUGAAACUUUGUAAUGUGAAUGGCAGUUCUGUGUGAAGAAUUCCAGUGAUUGGAACGAGGAUAAUUGUGUGCUAAAAGUUGUGAGGGCGUAGUAUUACAGUUGGAGAUUAUGAAGGUGAAUAUAUUGGUAGAAAUAGCAGUUAUUGGUAUGACUGAAUUGCUGUAAGGAAGAGACCGAUAAGGUGAAGGAGGAGAUUGUAGUUUCGUUGUCUAUUCAGAUAUUGGAAAUAGAGACGAUACAUUCAAGAGAUAAUUGAUUGUGUGAUCCUAACGUGAAUGCUUAAUAAAAUAGUUAUUUUCCGUGUUCAAAUCACCCUAUACGAGUUUA